AGACAUCAGUAGCCGCGGUAAUACGAAGGGGGCUAGCGUUGUUCGGAAUCACUGGGCGUAAAGCGCACGUAGGCGGACUUUUAAGUCAGGGGUGAAAUCCCAAGGCUCAACCUUGGAACUGCCUUUGAUACUGGAAGUCUUGAGUUCGGGAGAGGUGAGUGGAACUGCGAGUGUAGAGGUGAAAUUCGUAGAUAUUCGCAAGAACACCAGUGGCGAAGGCGGCUCACUGGCCCGAUACUGACGCUGAGGUGCGAAAGCGUGGGGAGCAGGCAGGAUUAGAUACCUCUGUAGUCCCUGUCUCUUAUAC
RNAcentral lists this ribosomal RNA (307 nucleotides) under uncultured bacterium. Its description in RNAcentral is "partial 16S ribosomal RNA". It matches the Rfam family "Bacterial small subunit ribosomal RNA", at positions 506 to 807 of the family's 1533-position model. The record is from RNAcentral.